CUGUCAUCUCGCUCCUUUGCCUUGCAAACCAUUGAUUGGCAGAAGACAAAACACAGGCUAACAGCUGACCUGGAGACCUGUUUUUAAAGUCCCUGGGCCUGGCCCAGCAGGUGACAGUUGGCUGGGCUUGCACCACCCUCUUGCCUCUCCUUUUGUGGAUGGCUGGACAUUGCAGCCCUGGGGUGUUCAGUUCCUCUACACGCUGCGGGCACAGGGGACCCACCUCCCGGAGGCAGCGCCCACAGCCGGUAGCGGACCAGGCCAGCAAAAGAUGGUUCAGGCUGCAGCACAGCAUCCUCGCCGCCUGGCCCCCUCUGGGGACCAACAGAGGCAGAGGCCAGGCCCCUCCUCUUAAGAACUGGAGAAGCCGGAGGUCCCGAUGUAGCUCAGUGGGUUAAGAACCCAACUAGUAUCCAUGAGCAUGUGGGUUCGUUCGAUCCCUGGCCACGCUCAGUGGGUGAAGAAUCCAGCGUUGCCGUGAGCUGCGGUAUAGGUGGCAGAUGCAGCUCGGAUCUGGCAUGGCUGUGGCUGUGGUGUAGGUGGCAGUCGCGGCUUGGAUCCUGUGUGGCUGCGGCUGUGGCUGGGGUGUGGGCCGGCAGCUACUGCUCUGAUUCGACCCCUGGCCUGAGAACCUCCAUAUGCCUCAGGUGUGGCCAUAAAAAACAAAAACAAACAAAAAGAAUUGGAGGAGCCAAGAGCAGAGUAGAGGAAAGUCAGCAGUGGGGACCUUUUCCGUCCAGAACAAGACGAGCACGUGUACGGGUCACAUAGAAUUUUUGCAUCCAAGCAUGAAGCUUCCAGAAGCUCGUCCACAGGCCGUGGAUUGAGAACCCAGCCUUGGCUUACCCCAACAGGGAGUCUGAUGUCAAAGCAGCCCUUGGUGGCACCCAGAGAUACAAUUCAGUUCCAGCAGGCAAGGAGACCAGCUCUGCGGCGGUUCUUCCUGAGACGAGCCGAGACCCUCCGAAAGGCAAUGGCCACUGUAGAGAGGUCUACUCGUGGGCAGACACAGGCAGAGGUGGUGGGAGAAAGCGCCCAUGGCCCACAGCCGAUCCUGGACACACCAAAUGUAUUGUGGACUCCUGCAGAGAAAGGCCAUAGAACGAAAUGCCAUUGAAAAACUCAAAACCUAUCCAUCUUUCAACCACCCCCUGAGGAAGUCAAGGCCAAUAUUCUUGGCCCCAUUAAGAGGUUAUGACCAGGAGUUCCCGUCAUGGCUCAGUGGUUAACGAAUCCGACUAGGAACCUCGAGGUUGCGGGUUCGAUCCCUGGCCUCGCUCAGUGGGUUAAGUCUCCGGCGUGGCCGUGAGCUGUGGUGUAGGGCACAGACGAGACUCAGAUCCGGCGUUGCUGUGACUGUGGUGUAGGCCGGCAGCUGUAGCUCUGAUUAGACCCCUAGCCUGGGAACCUCCAUAUGCCGAGGGUGCGGCCUAGAAAAGACCAAAAAAAAAAAAAAAAAAGAUGAGUUUAUGACAAGGAGUUCCCACUGUGGUGCAGCAAGUUAAGAAUCUGCUCAGGUGGCUGUGGAGGUGCAGGUUUGAUCCCAGGCCAGUGCAGUGGGUUAAAGAUCUGGUGUUGCUGCAGCUGCGGGAUAGGUUGCAGCUCCAGCUUGGAUUUGGUCUCUGGCCUGGGAACUUCCAUAUACAGCAGGUACAGCCAUUUAAAAAAAAAAAAAAAAAAAAAAAAAAAAGAGGUUACAACAAAAAAAGGAGGGUUCAAAGAACUGAAGCAAUGCCUGACAGACAUGUUGAUGGACAGUGGCAGGGCUAGA
This 1771-nucleotide long non-coding RNA is filed under the name Sus scrofa (pig). Its description in RNAcentral is "lncRNA (ENSSSCG00030014012.1)". Lineage: Eukaryota; Metazoa; Chordata; Mammalia; Artiodactyla; Suidae. The record is from RNAcentral.